This 825-nucleotide ribosomal RNA is filed under the name uncultured bacterium. RNAcentral's name for it is "bacterial SSU rRNA". It matches the Rfam family "Bacterial small subunit ribosomal RNA", at positions 51 to 890 of the family's 1533-position model. The record is from RNAcentral.
ACACAUGCAAGUCGAACGGAAGCAAAGAUUUCGGUUUUUGCUUUAGUGGCGAACGGGUGAGUAACGCGUGAGGAACCUGCCUUUCAGUGGGGGACAACAGUUGGAAACGACUGCUAAUACCGCAUAAUGCUUUUGAGUGGCAUCACUUAAAAGCCAAAGAUUUAUUGCUGAAAGAUGGCCUCGCGUCUGAUUAGCUAGUUGGCGGGGUAACGGCCCACCAAGGCGACGAUCAGUAGCCGGUCUGAGAGGAUGAACGGCCACAUUGGGACUGAGAUACGGCCCAGACUCCUACGGGAGGCAGCAGUGGGGAAUAUUGGGCAAUGGGGGAAACCCUGACCCAGCAACGCCGCGUGAAGGAAGAAGGCCUUCGGGUUGUAAACUUCUUUUACCAGGGGCGAAAGAAAUGACGGUACCUGGAGAAAAAGCAACGGCUAACUACGUGCCAGCAGCCGCGGUAAUACGUAGGUUGCGAGCGUUGUCCGGAUUUACUGGGUGUAAAGGGCGUGUAGGCGGAGAUGCAAGUUGGGAGUGAAAUCCAUGGGCUCAACCCAUGAACUGCUUCCAAAGCUGUAUCCCUUGAGUAUCGGAGAGGCAAGCGGAAUUCCUAGUGUAGCGGUGAAAUGCGUAGAUAUUAGGAGGAACACCAGUGGCGAAGGCGGCUUGCUGGACGACAACUGACGCUGAGGCGCGAAAGCGUGGGGAGCAAACAGGAUUAGAUACCCUGGUAGUCCACGCUGUAAACGAUGAAUACUAGGUGUGGGAGGACUGACCCCUUCCGUGCCGCAGUUAACACAAUAAGUGUUCCACCUGGGGAGUACGACCGCA